RNAcentral lists this long non-coding RNA (3836 nucleotides) under Xyrichtys novacula (pearly razorfish). Lineage: Eukaryota; Metazoa; Chordata; Actinopteri; Labriformes; Labridae. The record is from RNAcentral.
ACUGCAUCGCCCCCUAAAUCUCCUCUUUUCAGCCAAACUCCUCGUCCACUUUUCCCCCGGACCACUCUCAUCAUCGGCGACUCCAUCACAAGAAACGUCCGGUUCUUCAACGCCUUGAGGCACUGUUUUCCCGGUGCAUCUGUGCAGUCCAUACUGACAAAACUCCCAGACAUUCUAAAAUCACUCCCCCCAUCCGUCCACAGAAUUAUUGUCCACGUCGGUUGUGUCGAUGCCUCCCGUCGACACUCUGAAAUCACAAAAAUUAACUUUACUGCACUUUUUCACCUCCUCAAAAACACCGGAAAAACCAUUUUCGUCAGUGGCCCACUCGCACCUCUCAGCAGUGGAUAUGGACUUUUUAGCCGUAUCCUCUCCCUCCACAGCUGGCUUCAGUCUACCUGUAACUCCAAACUGCUCCACUUCAUCAGUAACUUUGAUCUUUUCUGGAACCGCAAACCACUUUUCAAACAGGACGGUCUACACCCAAACAUGCUAGGAAGUAGGAUUUUAACAGCCAACAUUCAACAUGCAGUUCACAACCAUCCAACAUGCGAUUGACUAUUGACAUUCCAAACCUGGAAACUGCCCCCUUCCUCUACGGUCCCCACGCACACACACCUCACCACUCAUUGCUCCACCAACAGGCCCCAACUGGUACUGCACACCAAUCCCAUCGCCGCCACUACAGCAAGCUCCCCCUCCCGCCCCAAACAGCUCCACCAACAGGCCCCAGGAUCUCGUCACAGCUUCUUCAUUCAAAUAAUUACAACUACUGGAUCCUCCCUUCAAAACACCCGCUCCCUCAGUAACAAAGGACACAUCCUGGCUGACUUCAUAACAGAUAAUAACCUGGACUUCCUCUGCCUAACUGAAACCUGGCACAACCAUCUUGAUGUCUUUCCACUCAACCAAGCCACGCCCCCCGGAUACUCCUACCUGCACCAACCCCACCUCACUGGCAAGGUGGUGGCGUCGCAUUCAUCCACAAACAGACCUUCAAGACCACCCCCGUCCCCACCUCGUCUGUCCACUCAUUUGAAAAUAUUUCCGUCAAACUCCCCGGCCCCACCACUCUGGUCAUUACACCAACUACCGCCCUCCAAAGCCCCACCCAUCAUUCCUCUCUGAUUUCUCUGACUUUGUCACCCACCUAAGUACAAUCUCAUCCUCUGUCCUGCUGCUUGGAGACUUCAACUUUCACACUGACAACCCCACCUGCAAACAAGCAUAUCCACCAUUUCUCCACCAUCAACCUCUAUAUAUCUGACCACCUGGCUGUCACUUUCAGCGUCCAGACCCCCCCCCCAUGCUUCACAGUGAAAAACGACACAUCUCCUUCAGAAACCUCAAAUCCAUCUCGCCUCAGGACCUCUCUGCUUCCUUAUCUGCCACCCUCACUGUAUCCCCUCCUCCCCUCCCCCACCAUCUGCUAAACUUGCUGACCUACUCAACUACUACAAUAACACUCUAUCCUCCUGCCUGGAUCAGUUCGCACCUCUCAAAACAAGAACAGUUUCAUUCAGACACUCUGCCCCCUGGUUUACCUCAGAACUGCACAAAAUGAAAUCACACAAACGCCAACUGAAACGUCUCUACCGCAAAACCGGCCUCACCGUCCAUCUCCAAGCCUACACUGACCAUCUCCACCUGUACAGAACAGCCCUCAACUCCGCCCGUUCUUCCUAUUACUCCAACCUCAUCCACUCCGGCUCCAGUAACCAAAAGGCUCUUUUCUCCAUGGUCAAAAAACUGCUCAACCCCAUAGACAGCAUCUCCAUCACCUUCACCCCGGAAAAGCGCAACUCAUUCCUCUCCUUUUUCCACCCUAAAUCAACACAAUCUACAACUCCCUUCCCCCACCCUCCAUUCCCAGCUACUCCCCUCCUCCCCUCAUCCCAUCAGCACUCUCCCGCUUCUCACCUGUUUCUCCAACCGACGUGACCGACAUCAUCUGCUCCAUGUCAUCAUCCACCUGCAACCUGGAUCCCAUCCCAUCCUCCCUCAUUAAGCACUGCCUCCCCGUCAUCUCUCCCAUCAUCACACAGAUCAUCAACUCCUCCCUCAACUCCGCCACUGUUCCCCCUUCACUCAAACUGGCCACUGUCACCCCCAUCCUUAAAAAAACCUGGACUCAACCCUGACGACAUCAACAACUUCCGGCCCAUCUCCAACCUCCCUUUCCUGGCGCAAAUCCGUGUCAACGUGUCAUUGCAUCACAAAUCAAAGCCCACCUCAACAAUAACAAUCUUUACGAACUGUUUCAAUCAGGAUUCCGCACCCACCACAGCACCGAAACUGCCCUCAUCAAAGUCACCAAUGUCCUCCUCAUUUCUGCUAACUCCAGACAACUCUCCAUCCACAUCCUCCUUGACCUCGCCGCCGCUUUUGACACCAUCGACGAUGCCAUCCUCCUGUCCCGCCUACACUCCCUCCUCAAUAUCACAGACACCGCUCUCAACUGGAUCCACUCAUAUCUCACAGACCGGAAUCACUUUAUCCACAUCAACAACUGCUCCUCCACAACUGCCCCCGUGUCCCAAGGUGUCCCCCAGGGUUCGGUGCUUGGUCCCCUCCUCUUCAUCAUCUACCUCCUCCCUCUUGGCCACAUCCUCCGUCAACACAAUCUCCACUUCCACUGCUAUGCUGAUGACAUUCAAUUGUACAUCUCUUCCACCUCCAUCACCCCCCAGACCCAACACUCCCCCUCAAACUGCCUCUCUGAUGUCAAACACUGGAUGGACAGCAACCUAUGACAAAAAACUAUGACAAAACAGAUCUCCUCAUCAUCGGCCCAAACUCCCUCACCUCCACAGUCACAGACUUUCAUCUCUCCAUUGACAACUCCACCCUCUCCCCCUCCCCUAGGGUUCCCAACCGUACCGUAAAAAACGGGAUCGUACCGUAUUUGAAAACAAAAAGACAUGUCCCAUAAUGAACUAAAACGUGACGCUCCUUGUGAUGUUUUAGUUUGUAAUAUUUUAAGGAGGUUAUAUAAUUAAGGUUAACUGUAAUAAAGUGUUUGCACUUUGACUUCUUGAAUAAGUCAAACAUUGUUUCAAUAUGGUGACAUUGCACCAUAUGUUCCAUGAAGAAUUAUUAUUAUUUUGCACACAAUAAAUUCUUCAAUGAUACAUUGAUAAUGUUUCUUGUGUAGUCUGUCUAUAAAUUAAGGUUUAAUUUAUGGUUAUGUUUGUGUACAUGCCUUGGGUCGCUUAUUCUAGUUGCAUUUACUUUAUCUAAUUGCAUUUACUUGGUUUAUGAAUAGGACUUGGUGUAACAUAUUAGGCAUGAUGAUUGUAUAACUGUGACUAUUAUUUUUUUUGUAUGCACAUAUCCCCACAUUUCUCGGCCUGAAAUAAGGGACACCCAAAUUUUAUGAGGGACACCAAAAAAUUUUCGGCAGAUUAACUGUCCCUUUUCUCAAUCUCUUGGAGUUGGCAACCCUACCCUCCCCCCACUGUCGCAACCUUGGUAUUCUCUUCGACAGCAACCUCUCCUUCACCUAGCACGUCAAGCAAAUCACCAAAACAGCCUACUACCACCUCAAAAACAUUGCCCGCCUCCGCCCCUCCCUCUCCUACCCUGCAGCUGAAACCCUCAUACAUGCAUUCAUUUCAUCUCGUCUAGAUUAUUGUAACAGUCUCCUCCAUUGCACUACCUCCACUCUCCUCAAUAAACUUCAGCUCAUCCAGAACUCUGCCGCCCGUCUCCUCACCCAUACACGCUCCCACCAACACAUCGCCCCCGUCCUCCAGAACCUUCACUGGCUCCCCAUCCCCCAUCGCAUUCAGUACAAAAUCCUCCUUCUCACCCACAAAGCAGUCCACAACCAGGCC